GAUGAACGCUGGCGGCGUGCCUAAUACAUGCAAGUCGAGCGACCAGACGAGGAGCUUGUUCCUCUGACGUUAGCGGCGGACGGGUGAGUAACACGUGGAUAACCUACCUAUAAGACUGGGAUAACUUCGGGAAACCGGAGCUACUACCGGAUAAUAUAUUGAACCGCAUGGUUCAAUAGUGAAAGACGGUUUUGCUGUCUCUUAUAGAUGGAUCCGCGCCGCAUUAGCUAGUUGGUAAGGUACCGGCUUACCAAGGCAACGAUGCGUAGCCGACCUGAGAGGGUGAUCGGCCACACUGGAACUGAGACACGGUCCAGACUCCUACGGGAGGCAGCAGUAGGGAAUCUUCGGCAAUGGGCCAAAUCCUGACGGAGCAACGCCGCGUGAGUGAUGAAGGUCUUCGGAUCGUAAAACUCUGUUAUUAGGGAAGAACAAAUGUAUAAGUAACUAUGCACGUCUUGACGGUACCUAAUCAGAAAGCCACGGCUAACUACGUG
This 497-nucleotide ribosomal RNA is filed under the name uncultured bacterium. Its description in RNAcentral is "partial 16S ribosomal RNA". It matches the Rfam family "Bacterial small subunit ribosomal RNA", at positions 28 to 507 of the family's 1533-position model. The record is from RNAcentral.